RNAcentral lists this ribosomal RNA (678 nucleotides) under uncultured crenarchaeote. Its description in RNAcentral is "bacterial SSU rRNA". It matches the Rfam family "Archaeal small subunit ribosomal RNA", at positions 102 to 783 of the family's 1478-position model. Lineage: Archaea; Thermoproteati; Thermoproteota. The record is from RNAcentral.
AGUCAACAUGCCCAGAGGACGUGGAUAACCUCGGGAAACUGAGUCUAAACCGCGAUAAGUGAGGAUUUCUGGAAUGGUUCCUGACUAAAAUCUAUAUGGCCUCUGGAUUGGACUGCGGCCGAUCAGGCUGUUGGUGAGGUAAUGGCCCACCAAACCUGUAACCGGUACGGGCUCUGAGAGGAGGAGCCCGGAGAUGGGCACUGAGACAAGGGCCCAGGCCCUAUGGGGCGCAGCAGGCGCGAAACCUCUGCAAUAGGCGAAAGCCUGACAGGGUUACUCUGAGUGACUUUCGCUAAGAAAGUCUUUUGGCACCUCUAAAAAGGGUGCAGAAUAAGGGGUGGGCAAGUCUGGUGUCAGCCGCCGCGGUAAUACCAGCACCCCGAGUGGUCGGGACGAUUAUUGGGCCUAAAGCAUCCGUAGCCGGUUCUGCAAGUCCCCCGUUAAAUCCAGCUGCUCAACAGAUGGGCCGCGGAGGAUACUACAGAGCUAGGAGGCAGGAGAGGCAAGCGGUACUCAGUGGGUAGGGGUAAAAUCCGUUGAUCCAUUGAAGACCACCAGUGGCGAAGGCGGCUUGCCAGAAUGCGCUCGACGGUGAGGGAUGAAAGCUGGGGGAGCAAACCGGAUUAGAUACCCGGGUAGUCCCAGCCGUAAACGAUGCAGACUCGGUGAUGGGUUGGC